UAAACAUAUUACCGAAACUGUGGAUGAACCUCUUUAGAGGUUCGUGGUAGGAGAGCGUUCUAAGGGCGGUGAAGUCAGACCGGAAGGACUGGUGGAGCGCUUAGAAGUGAGAAUGCCGGUAUGAGUAGCGAAAGAAGGGUGAGAAUCCCUUCCACCGAAUAUCUAAGGUUUCCUGAGGAAGGCUCGUCCGCUCAGGGUUAGUCGGGACCUAAGCCGAGGCCGAUAGGCGUAGGCGAUGGACAACAGGUAGAGAUUCCUGUACCAGUGCUAAUUGUUUAACCGAUGGGGUGACACAGAAGGAUAGGGAAUCGCACGAAUGGAAAUGUGCGUCCAAGCAGUGAGUGUGAGAAGUAGGCAAAUCCGCUUCUCGCGAAGCAUGAGCUGUGAUGGGGAAGGAAAUUAAGUACGGAAGUUCCUGAUUUCACGCUGUCAAGAAAAGCCUCUAGGAAGAGUAGUACUGCCCGUACCGCAAACCGACACAGGUAGAUGAGGAGAGAAUCCUAAGGUGAGCGAGAGAACUCUCGUUAAGGAACUCGGCAAAAUGACCCCGUAACUUCGGGAGAAGGGGUGCUCUAUUAGGGUGCAAGCCCGAGAGAGCCGCAGUGAAUAGGCCCAGGCGACUGUUUAGCAAAAACACAGGUCUCUGCAAAACCGUAAGGUGACGUAUAGGGGCUGACGCCUGCCCGGUGCUGGAAGGUUAAGAGGAGUGCUUAGCUUCGGCGAAGGUACGAAUUGAAGCCCCAGUAAACGGCGGCCGUAACUAUAACGGUCCUAAGGUAGCGAAAUUCCUUGUCGGGUAAGUUCCGACCCGCACGAAAGGCGCAACGAUCUGGGCACUGUCUCAACGAGAGACUCGGUGAAAUUAUAGUACCUGUGAAGAUGCAGGUUACCCGCGACAGGACGGAAAGACCCCGUGGAGCUUUACUGCAACCUGAUAUGGAAUGUUUGUACCGCUUGUACAGGAUAGGUAGGAGCCGAAGAGACGUGUGCGCUAGCAUACGAGGAGGCAAUGGUGGGAUACUACCCUGGCUGUAUGACCAUUCUAACCCGCCACGCUUAGCGCGUGGGGAGACAGUGUCAGGUGGGCAGUUUGACUGGGGCGGUCGCCUCCUAAAGAGUAACGGAGGCGCCCAAAGGUUCCCUCAGAAUGGAUGGAAAUCAUUCGCAGAGUGUAAAGGCACAAGGGAGCUUGACUGCGAGACUGACAAGUCGAGCAGGGACGAAAGUCGGGCUUAGUGAUCCGGUGGUUCCGCAUGGAAGGGCCAUCGCUCAACGGAUAAAAGCUACCCCGGGGAUAACAGGCUUAUCUCCCCCAAGAGUCCACAUCGACGGGGAGGUUUGGCACCUCGAUGUCGGCUCGUCGCAUCCUGGGGCUGUAGUCGGUCCCAAGGGUUGGGCUGUUCGCCCAUUAAAGCGGCACGCGAGCUGGGUUCAGAACGUCGUGAGACAGUUCGGUCCCUAUCCGUCGCGGGCGCAGGAAAUUUGAGAGGAGCUGUCCUUAGUACGAGAGGACCGGGAUGGACACACCGCUGGUGUACCAGUUGUUCCGCCAGGAGCAUCGCUGGGUAGCUAUGUGUGGCAGGGAUAAACGCUGAAAGCAUCUAAGCGUGAAGCCCCCCUCAAGAUGAGAUUUCCCAUUUCUUCGGAAAGUAAGAUCCCUGAAAGAUGAUCAGGUAGAUAGGUUUGGAGUGGAAGUGUAGCGAUACAUGGAGCGGACAAAUACUAAUCGAUCGAGGACUUAACCAAAAA
This 1749-nucleotide ribosomal RNA is filed under the name Listeria monocytogenes. RNAcentral describes it as "partial 23S ribosomal RNA". It matches the Rfam family "Bacterial large subunit ribosomal RNA", at positions 1183 to 2925 of the family's 2925-position model. The record is from RNAcentral. Lineage: Bacteria; Bacillati; Bacillota; Bacilli; Caryophanales; Listeriaceae.